GGUUCGGCUCAUCUGCAGUCACGUUAUUACUGCACGGGUACUGUACCAACCCAGAUCAGCCAUUCAUUUAAAUCUCACGGCUCUCAUUACCCCCACCCGAUUCUGUUAAUAGAUGGAAACAAACACCUAAUUAUGUGGUAGAAAAUCUUGUACGGUUGCAAGAUUGGCGCCAAACAGAACCACGAAGACUCACAUUGGCGCCAAACAGAACCACGAAGACUCACAUUGGCGCCAAACAAAACACCACCCUAAUAAUCGCGUUGGCGACAAACAGCGAUCGAUGGGUUCGGCUCCUCUACGAUCUAUUUGCCUUCGUCCUGCUCAUCUUCCCCGUUCCUCUUGUUCGUCCUUGUAAAAGAACAUGGCGGAGGUACGUUCAUCUGUGGUCUGUAGGUGGCGAGAUCAACUCCCUUUUGCCUUAUCUCUCUUCUGAUCAUCCCCCAUGUUCAGAGUGAAACCAAGGCAAGCUGAUCUGUAGGCGAUGAAGAUUAUCUCCCUUUUGUCUUCCUUCUACUAGCAACAAAAAAGAAGACAAUAAAUCAGAAGGUAUGUGACAUACACUCUGAUUGUAUUCAUGUUCUGAAGGCACACAAUUCGUAGAUUGAGUUCGUGAUGCUACUAUUUUCUGAAUGGAGGAUGAUAAGGACAAGAUGAAAAACUUAUUUUCUGCAUCUUUUAGAGUAUGUCAGAGUGAAAAGAAAUAAUUUUAAUAGAAGUGAUCUCUAUUGUUUUGGACAAGCUCAAGAUAAAAUGCAUGAAUGUAUCCAAAUAUUUACUUGUAACACAGGUGAUUUGCUCAUCAAGUACCUGGGAUUUCCAAAACAUGACAGGAGAUUAAUGCAGACGAUCUCUCUUUUGUUGUCCUUCUCCUAGCAACAAAAAAGAAGACGAUCAUUCUUAAGGUAUGUGACACAUGUUCUGAUUGUAUUAAUGUUCUCAAGGCAGCAAGGGAAUUUUUGGACUGAGUUUGCUAUUAUAUCACAGAUUACACAAAAAGGGGAAGAGAAGGUCCAAUGGAGAAUAUGACUACCUCUAAUGAGGAUGCUAACAGGUACCGACAAUUUUGUUAAAUUCUCAGGUCAUAUCAUCUUAUGAUUGUAGUGUAAGCAUACAAACAAAUAAGUUAUGUGUAAUUUUUAUAGGACAAAUGUGGUUCCUAGUUGGAUGCCUCAGAUUGGUAUGAAAUUUAAUUCCACAAAAGAGGCUUGGAACUUUUGGACAUGUUAUGGAGGUCAUAUUGGUUUUGAUGUAAGGAUAAAUUAUGAAAACAAGAGCAAACUCGAUGGAGUAAUCACUUCAGCAAGAUAUGUUUGUUCCAAUGAGGGCUACAGAAGAAAAGACAAAAGGGAUAAUAAUACAAAGCGUCCUCGUGCAGAAACAAGGACCGGCUGCAAUGUUCGAAUGGGAAUCACUAUAGACCGAGAAACAGGAAACUAUGAGGUGCAUGAGUUAGUUGUUGAACACAACCAUGUGUUGCAAUUACCUGGGACAAGCCACUUGAUGCCAUCACAGAGGAAAAUUUCGGCCUUGCAAGCAUUUGAAAUUGAAACAGCAGAUGAUUCAGGAAUUGUACCUAGAAAAGCCCAUGAGUUAGCAAGUCGACAAGUUGGUGGUCCACUGAACCUUGGCUACACAUGUCGUGAUCGCAAGAACCACUUGCGAACCAGACGUCAAAGAGACUUGAUGUAUGGUGAAGCUAGAAGUAUGCUCAAGUAUUUUAGAGAUAAAAAGAAUGAGAAUCCUGCAUUUGAAUAUGACAUGCAACUAGAUUGUGAUGAAAAUAUAGCAAAUAUCUUUUGGGCUGAUGCAAGGAUGAUCAUUGACUAUGCUCAUUUCGGUGAUGUUGUUACCUUCGAUACAACAUUUGGGACAAACAAAGAGUACAGACCCUUCGGUGUGUUUGUUGGCUUCAACCAUUUUAGAGAAAUGGUCAUUUUUGGUGCUGCACUUUUAUAUGAUGAGACAUUUGAAUCAUUCAAAUGGUUGUUCAACACGUUCCUAUCAGUGCAUAACAAAAAGCAACCUAGAACAAUAUUUACUGAUCAAGAUGUAGCAAUGGGUAAUGCAAUUCGGGCAGUAUUUAUGGAAGCAUGGCAUGGGUUGUGCACUUUUCACAUAAUGCAAAAUGCCAUCAGACACUUACCUCAUAAGAAAAAAGACAAGGAAGGACUAAAUGUACUUGCUGAUUUCAGUGCUUGCAUGUACAAGUAUGAGGAAGAGGAAGCCUUUGAAGAAGCUUUCAAUGCCAUAAGAAGCAAUGUGGAAACACAAACUUGGUUGG
Molecule: long non-coding RNA, 2281 nt
Filed under: Triticum aestivum (bread wheat)
Lineage: Eukaryota; Viridiplantae; Streptophyta; Magnoliopsida; Poales; Poaceae
Description: long non-coding RNA (TAES_LNC013857)
Source: RNAcentral